ACAGGAUUAGAUACCCUGGUAGUCCACGCUGUAAACGAUGUCGACUUGGAGGUUGUGCCCUUGAGGCGUGGCUUCCGGAGCUAACGCGUUAAGUCGACCGCCUGGGGAGUACGGCCGCAAGGUUAAAACUCAAAUGAAUUGACGGGGGCCCGCACAAGCGGUGGAGCAUGUGGUUUAAUUCGAUGCAACGCGAAGAACCUUACCUACUCUUGACAUCCACGGAAUUCGCCAGAGAUGGCUUGGUGCCUUCGGGAACCGUGAGACAGGUGCUGCAUGGCUGUCGUCAGCUCGUGUUGUGAAAUGUUGGGUUAAGUCCCGCAACGAGCGCAACCCUUAUCCUUUGUUGCCAGCACGUAAUGGUGGGAACUCAAAGGAGACUGCCGGUGAUAAACCGGAGGAAGGUGGGGAUGACGUCAAGUCAUCAUGGCCCUUACGAGUAGGGCUACACACGUGCUACAAUGGCAUAUACAAAGAGAAGCGAACUCGCGAGAGCAAGCGGACCUCAUAAAGUAUGUCGUAGUCCGGAUUGGAGUCUGCAACUCGACUCCAUGAAGUCGGAAUCGCUAGUAAUCGUAGAUCAGAAUGCUACGGUGAAUACGUUCCCGGGCCUUGUACACACCGCCCGUCACACCAUGGGAGUGGGUUGCAAAAGAAGUAGGUAGCUUAACCUUCGGGAGGGCGCUUACCACUUUGUGAUUCAUGACUGGGGUGAAGUCGUAACAAGGUAACC
RNAcentral lists this ribosomal RNA (730 nucleotides) under uncultured bacterium. RNAcentral describes it as "bacterial SSU rRNA". It matches the Rfam family "Bacterial small subunit ribosomal RNA", at positions 772 to 1501 of the family's 1533-position model. The record is from RNAcentral.